Molecule: ribosomal RNA, 399 nt
Filed under: uncultured Methanosaeta sp.
Lineage: Archaea; Methanobacteriati; Methanobacteriota; Methanomicrobia; Methanotrichales; Methanotrichaceae
Description: bacterial SSU rRNA
Rfam family: Archaeal small subunit ribosomal RNA
Source: RNAcentral
GACAGACAAUAUGAAGGCCAGGCUGAAGACUUUGCCGGAUUAGCUGAGAGGUGGUGCAUGGCCGUCGUCAGUUCGUACUGUGAAGCAUCCUGUUAAGUCAGGCAACGAGCGAGACCCACGCCCACAGUUGCCAGCGUACUCUCUGGAGUGACGGGUACACUGUGGGACCGCCGCUGCUAAAGCGGAGGAAGGAAUGGGCAACGGUAGGUCAGUAUGCCCCGAAUAUCCCGGGCUACACGCGAGCUACAAUGGUUGGUACAAUGGGUAUCUACCCGAAAGGGACGGGAAUCUCCUAAAACCAAUCUUAGUUCGGAUUGAGGGCUGCAACUCGCCCUCAUGAAGCUGGAAUCCGUAGUAAUCGCGUUUCAACAGAACGCGGUGAAUACGUCCCUGCUCCCU